AGGGUUGUAGUUAACCAUAACAUUUGAAUUGCAAUCAAAAAGUACCUUUACGUGUCUUCCUUA
RNAcentral lists this transfer RNA (63 nucleotides) under Chloracris brunneri. RNAcentral's name for it is "tRNA-Ala". Lineage: Eukaryota; Metazoa; Arthropoda; Insecta; Orthoptera; Tettigoniidae. The record is from RNAcentral.